Molecule: ribosomal RNA, 404 nt
Filed under: Fusobacteriota bacterium
Lineage: Bacteria; Fusobacteriati; Fusobacteriota
Description: Fusobacteria bacterium partial 16S ribosomal RNA
Rfam family: Bacterial small subunit ribosomal RNA
Source: RNAcentral
UGGGGAAUAUUGCACAAUGGAGGGAACUCUGAUGCAGCGACGCCGCGUGAGUGAUGAAGGACUUCGUUUCGUAAAACUCUGUUCUAUGGGAAGAAAAGGACUGUACCAUAGGAGAAAGCUCCGGCUAAAUACGUGCCAGCAGCCGCGGUAAUACGUAUGGAGCGAGCGUUGUCCGGAAUUAUUGGGCGUAAAGGGUGCGCAGGCGGCUUUACAAGUUGGAUGUGAAAUAUUGUGGCUCAACCACAAACGUGCAUCCAAAACUGCAAAGCUUGAGUUAAGGAGAGGUAAGUGGAAUUCCUGGUGUAGCGGUGGAAUGCGUAGAUAUCAGGAGAAAUACCGGUGGCGAAGGCGACUUACUGGACUUAAACUGACGCUCAGGCACGAAAGCGUGGGGAGCAAACAGG